CGGGAGGCAGCAGUGAGGAAUAUUGGUCAAUGGGCGGAAGCCUGAACCAGCCAUGCCGCGUGCAGGAAGACGGCCCUACGGGUUGUAAACUGCUUUUACACGGGAAGAAUAACCCUGACGUGUCAGGGGAUGCCGGUACCGUGUGAAUAAGGAUCGGCUAACUCCGUGCCAGCAGCCGCGGUAAUACGGAGGAUCCAAGCGUUAUCCGGAUUUACUGGGUUUAAAGGGUGCGUAGGCGGGCGCCUAAGUCAGUGGUGAAAGGCAGCGGCUCAACCGUUGAACUGCCAUUGAAACUGGGCGUCUUGGAUACGGUCGAGGCUGGCGGAAUGCGUGGUGUAGCGGUGAAAUGCUUAGAUAUCACGCGGAACGCCGAUUGCGAAGGCAGCUGGCCAGGCCGUUAUCGACGCUGAGGCACGAAAGCGUGGGGAUCAAACAGGAUUAGAUACCCUGGUAGUCCACGCCGUAAACGAUGAUCACUGGAUGUUGGCGAUACACCGUCAGCGUCUGAGCGAAAGCAUUAAGUGAUCCACCUGGGGAGUACGAUCGCAAGGUUGAAACUCAAAGGAAUUGACGGGGGCCCGCACAAGCGGAGGAACAUGUGGUUUAAUUCGAUGAUAC
RNAcentral lists this ribosomal RNA (618 nucleotides) under uncultured bacterium. RNAcentral's name for it is "bacterial SSU rRNA". It matches the Rfam family "Bacterial small subunit ribosomal RNA", at positions 342 to 960 of the family's 1533-position model. The record is from RNAcentral.